GAUGAAGAACGCAGCGAAAUGCGAUACGUAAUGUGAAUUGCAGAAUUCAGUGAAUCAUCGAAUCUUUGAACGCAUAUUGCGCUCUCUGGUAUUCCGGAGAGCAUGCUUGUUUGAGUAUCAGUAAACACCUCAACUUCCAUAUCUUUUUUGAAAUGGGAGUUGGACUUGAGUGAUCCCAACGCUUUUCCUCACCGAAAAGUGGCGGGUUACUUGAAAUGCAGGUGCAGCUGGACUUUUCUCUGAGCUAUAAGCAUAUCUAUUUAGUCUGCCUAAAAAACAGAUUAUUACCUUUGCUGCAGCUAACAUAAAGGAGAUUAGUUCUUGUGCUGACUGAUGCAGGAUUCACAAAGACAGGCUUCGGCCGACUUUGUAAACUCGAUCUCAAAUCAAGUAAGACUACCCGCUGAACUUGAGCAUAUCGAUAAGCGGAGGA
RNAcentral lists this unclassified non-coding RNA (433 nucleotides) under soil metagenome. RNAcentral's name for it is "partial contains 5.8S ribosomal RNA, internal transcribed spacer 2, and large subunit ribosomal RNA". The stretch from base 1 to 120 matches the Rfam family "5.8S ribosomal RNA", at positions 35 to 154 of the family's 154-position model. The record is from RNAcentral.